UUUAUUUUUCUCGCUAUGCAGACGAUGUUUCGAGGUGGACACAGGGGCCGGCGUUGUCGGGGUGCUUGAGGAGCGUUGCCGGAGGGUCAUUGGUCUUCUUCGCCGGCUGUCGGUCACGCUUCGAGGGUGAUUGAAGCAUGCCGCCAAAAAAAAGGGGUGGCGGUCUUAAAAAGAAGCUCAAGGACUUGGUAGGUGUAGGGACUUCGAGGCGGGGCCCCCCACCUAGCCCCCCUCCUAGCCCCCCCUCCUGUCGCUCCCACAGGGCGGCCGCGUAGGAAGAAUGCGACGCGGGUACUCACUCCUAGUCCUAGCCCCCCUCCCGCAGCCGAUGAUGAUGACGAGGAGGAGGAGGUGGGUGGGGAGGACCAGGAGGAGGAGGUGGGUGGGGAGGACCAGGAGGAGGAGGGGGGUGGGGAGGACCAGGAGGAGGAGGGGGACGAGGAGGACCUCUCGGAGGAUGAGGGGUUGGGGAACUUAGUGUUCGAUCCUGAUCCAAGCCUAGAGUGGUGUGAGCCGGAGGAUUACCAGUACGUUCCAGCUUUGGAGAGGCUGAGGCCACGUGAUAGGAAGCCAUAUCGGCGUGGGAUAACACAGCUCCCCUCGCUGAGAAGCUGGCGCUACAGGCACGUUGUUCUUGUGCCCUAUGGAAGGAGCUCGUUCCAGC
Molecule: non-coding RNA, 664 nt
Organism: Lolium perenne
Lineage: Eukaryota; Viridiplantae; Streptophyta; Magnoliopsida; Poales; Poaceae
Source: RefSeq, a predicted model, not a curated record